Molecule: ribosomal RNA, 433 nt
Filed under: uncultured bacterium
Lineage: Bacteria
Description: bacterial SSU rRNA
Rfam family: Bacterial small subunit ribosomal RNA
Source: RNAcentral
UUACGCGAAGACCUUACCAGGGCUUGACAUCCUGCGAACCUCUGGGAAACCGGAGGGUGCCUUCGGGAACGCAGAGACAGGUGGUGCAUGGCUGUCGUCAGCUCGUGUCGUGAGAUGUUGGGUUAAGUCCCGCAACGAGCGCAACCCACGUCUUUAGUUGCCAGCAUUCAGUUGGGCACUCUAGAGAGACCGCCGGUGACAAACCGGAGGAAGGUGUGGAUGACGUCAAGUCAUCAUGCCCCUUACGUCCUGGGCUACACACGUACUACAAUGCUACGGACAAAGAGCAGCGAGCUCGCGAGAGUCAGCAAAUCUCAUAAACCGUGGCUCAGUUCAGAUCGUAGGCUGCAACUCGCCUACGUGAAGGAGGAAUCGCUAGUAAUCGCAGGUCAGCAUACUGCGGUGAAUACGUUCCCGGGUCUUGUACACACCG